UCAAUCGAGCCGGAUUCGAACCAGCAACCCAGCUAACAAUAAGUACAGCAGCGACGCUACAGUUCUCCGCUCUACCAGCUGAGCAACAAUAA
Ostertagia ostertagi is the source of this 92-nucleotide non-coding RNA. Lineage: Eukaryota; Metazoa; Nematoda; Chromadorea; Rhabditida; Trichostrongylidae. The record is from the annotation of a GenBank genome assembly.